RNAcentral lists this unclassified non-coding RNA (522 nucleotides) under Hevea brasiliensis (rubber tree). The record is from RNAcentral. Lineage: Eukaryota; Viridiplantae; Streptophyta; Magnoliopsida; Malpighiales; Euphorbiaceae.
UGUGGAUUAUGCCUUCAUAGUGGCUCUUGUGGUGGUUCUUGAUGAGAUCAACAAUGAUCGGAGCGGGGAGGAUUAAAUAUUAUUUGUGUGUUAUUAUGGAACUGUCCAACUAGCAUCUGUGUGUGUGGAAAUAAAUUUGAUAAACUUGUGAACGCCAGUGAUCGUUAGCUGCAUUUCUGAUCUGCCUUGAGUUGUAAAAGCUUCCAUGAUUUCCUGAUAAUCUAUCAAGUGCUUGCUUGGUUCUGUGGAUAUUUCAAAUCUAUGUGUAAUCUGGAUAGCAGAAAAGUUCCAAUAAGAAAGUUAACUUGAAUUGAAUAGCUUUCAAGCAAUGAGAGCAACCUUGGGUGUCUGAGCCCGAACAACAAAUUUGCAAAUAAUAAUGUAUUUUACUGACGAAAGAGAAAUUGUAAUCAUUGUUUCAAAGAUGAUGGACUCGUUCAUCUUCGACCUCUAUAAAAGCAAUUUAAAAAAACAAAUUGUUAAUCUUAUCAAAUAAAUAAAAUUUUAAAUUAUGUAUGUACA